RNAcentral lists this ribosomal RNA (464 nucleotides) under uncultured bacterium. RNAcentral describes it as "bacterial SSU rRNA". It matches the Rfam family "Bacterial small subunit ribosomal RNA", at positions 32 to 508 of the family's 1533-position model. The record is from RNAcentral.
AAUCAACGCUGGCGGCGUGCCUAACACAUGCAAGUCGAACGAGAAAGGGGAGCAAUCCCUGAGUAAAGUGGCGACCGGGUGAGUAACACGUGACUAACCUACCCUCGAGUGGGGAAUAACUCCGGGAAACCGGAGCUAAUACCGCAUAACAUCAUUGGAACGCAGGUUCUGGUGAUCAAAGGAGCAAUUCGCUUGAGGAGGGAGUCGCGGCUGAUUAGCUAGUUGGCGGGGUAAUGGCCCACCAAGGCUUAGAUCGGUAGCCGGCCUGAGAGGGCGCACGGCCACACUGGAACUGAAACACGGUCCAGACUCCUACGGGAGGCAGCAGUGGGGAAUUUUGCGCAAUGGGGGAAACCCUGACGCAGCAACGCCGCGUGGAGGAUGAAGUCCCUUGGGAUGUAAACUCCUUUCGACCGGGAAGAUACUGACGGUACCGGUGGAAGAAGCACCGGCUAACUCUGUGC